GAGAUAGAUGCAGAUAGAUGCGCGUGGUGGUCAGAUCGCUGGUCAUGUUAACAAACCUCCUCCUCAUAAAGAUGGGGAUGAUAAG
This 85-nucleotide long non-coding RNA is filed under the name Mus pahari (shrew mouse). Its description in RNAcentral is "sRNA (MGP_PahariEiJ_G0008096.1)". The stretch from base 11 to 85 matches the Rfam family "HOTAIR conserved region 2". Lineage: Eukaryota; Metazoa; Chordata; Mammalia; Rodentia; Muridae. The record is from RNAcentral.